RNAcentral lists this ribosomal RNA (1200 nucleotides) under human gut metagenome. RNAcentral describes it as "bacterial LSU rRNA". It matches the Rfam family "Bacterial large subunit ribosomal RNA", at positions 1183 to 2405 of the family's 2925-position model. The record is from RNAcentral.
GAAACACGAUACCGAAGCUCAGGAGUGUGUAAAAGCACACUGGUAGAGGAGCAAUCUCAACGCGCAGAAGCAGUACCGAUAAGGAGCUGUGGAGUGUUGAGAAGAGAGAAUGCCGGAAUGAGUAGCGAGAAUGAUGUGAGAAUCAUCAUGGCCGAAUAUCCAAGGAUUCCAGGGUAAAGCUGAUCUGCCCUGGGUAAGUCGGGACCUAAGGCAAGGACGAGAGUCGUAGUCGAUGGACAGCUGGUUCAGAUUCCAGCACCUGACAUGAUCAGAACUGUGGGGACACAGAGACGUAACCGGACCCGGGAGAGCAAAGACCGGGCCAAGCGAAGUAGGUGUGCGGAAGGCAAAUCCGCCGCACAAGCCGAAGGCGUUAAGGGGAGCGAAAUCAAGUAGCGAAGCCGGUGACCGUAACUGUCAAGAAAAGCCGCUAUUGUAUCAUGUCAGCCCGUACCGCAAACCGACACAGGUGGAUGAGGAGAGAAUCCUAAGGCCGGCGGGAGAAGCAUUGUUAAGGAACUCGGCAAAAUGACCCCGUAACUUCGGGAGAAGGGGUGCUGCAGAGAUGCAGCCGCAGAGAAAAGGCUCAAGCAACUGUUUAGCAAAAACACAGGUCUAUGCGAAACCGUAAGGUGAAGUAUAUGGGCUGACGCCUGCCCGGUGCUGGAAGGUUAAGAGGAGAGGUUAGCGUAAGCGAAGCUUUGAAUUUAAGCCCCAGUAAACGGCGGCCGUAACUAUAACGGUCCUAAGGUAGCGAAAUUCCUUGUCGGGUAAGUUCCGACCCGCACGAAAGGCGUAAUGAUUUGAGCGCUGUCUCAACAAUGCACCCGGUGAAAUUGAAGUACCAGUGAAGAUGCUGGUUACCUGCGCCAGGACGGAAAGACCCCAUGGAGCUUUACUCUAGUUUGAUACCGGGAUCCGGUGUUACUCGUACAGGAUAGGUGGGAGGCUACGAAGUAUGGACGCCAGUCUAUACGGAGCCGCUGUUGGGAUACCACCCCUGUGGCACUGGGUUUCUAACCUGCGUCCAUUAUCUGGACGGGGGACAAUGUCAGAUGGGGAGUUUGACUGGGGCGGUCGCCUCCGAAAGAGUAUCGGAGGCGCUCAAAGGUUCCCUCAGAAUGGUUGGAAACCAUUCGCAGAGCGCAAAGGCAGAAGGGAGCUUGACUGCGACACCGACGGGUGGAGCAGGUACGAAAG